Long non-coding RNA from Cygnus olor (mute swan), 5026 nucleotides. RefSeq lists it as uncharacterized. The record is from RefSeq and is a predicted model, not a curated record. NCBI's taxonomy places the organism in Eukaryota, Metazoa, Chordata, Aves, Anseriformes, Anatidae. The transcript is spliced from 6 exons.
GUGAGCUGGUUUGUGAAAUAUUUUAAUAGCAGGACGACUUGGCAAACCUUCUGUGCUGCUCCGCUAAUGACACAGUGCCAGACUGCAAAAAUGCCGCAAAAAUGCAGUGUAAUCAAUAGAGCACUGGUGGAGCACAAGGAAUACUGAUGAACACAUGUCCAGUGAGACGGGCAAGAUAUUGAAGGAACUUGAGCUGCGAGGCUGGUGCAGACAGAGCCAGCUGGCUCUUAGUCCUCCCUUUAAAAGUCAGCUUUCAAUGGCCAUUAGAACAAAUUGAGAAGACAUGUGUAAUGGCUUUGGCAGGGCUCGAUGCAGAAAGAAGGCUGGAUGGCGUAUGAACAAUGGGAGGUUUUCUCAUCCUUCCUGAUGUGAAAUCAAAUCACAGCUGUAGGCAGCGUCAGAAAUGAAUCCAGUGACUGAACGGGAGUGGCAGGGAGACUGAAUUACAUCCUUACACCUUUAACAUAGUACCUGGCUGCGGAAUUGUAGACAAGCUGGUGGACGCUCGCAUGGUCUGCGGGGCCAGCAGGACCGGGGCAGGACGUGGCAGGCUUACUGGUAGGGUCUGAGCUGCAUUUGGAACGAAGGCUUCAGUCUGAAGUGCUGUAGCCAAGGUGAACUACAUCCAGAGUGAGAGAUCCAAGGAGACGCUGGUCUAAGGGACAGAGGAAAGGUAAUUUCAGUCUAUGCAUCUCCCUUCAGCCCUGGAUACCAGAGGCAAACCACAGAAUAAGGGCUACAAAAAGCCUCCAAGAGGCAGCAUGUAUGGUGGCAUCAUCUGGGGAAUAAUUCCUUCUGAAAAUCUGCAUGUUUAGCUUUUACACUUCAUUUAAUUGCAAAGAAGCAAAGAUAUAUUGGUGAUUCUCUGCAUAAGCAUUCAGCGUGGAGAUACAUCAUUCAGAUGGGUCUUCAGCCCUGACGCUAGGCAUAGCAGGUGAUAGCCGUGUGAGGUGUGUCUCUGAACACUGCCUUUCUCAGCUGCCUUCUCCAUGUGCUGCACUGUCCACCAUAAUUUUUCUUCAGAUACAAAUUUAUUCUCUUUUGGUCUGUUUUACAGAAAAAAAAAAAAAAAAGAAAAAGAAAAGCUCAGCUAGGCUCAGUAGUAAUGACACAACGACGCAUAGGCAGUGAAAUGAGCAAAAAUGUAUUUUAUUGCAUAGGAUUAAAAUUAAAGUUGUACUAUGCAACUCAAUGAUUAGUAUUUAUGGGUGAUUUGGAUGCACAUUGCUAUCAGGGGUGCAUGAUACUUCUAUCUAACAUUUAUGCCACAUUGUUGUUGAAGAGAUUGACCUGCUUUAAUUUAAUUUUCUAUAGUUCAUUUUCCUGGCCAUCAAUGAAUUAUUUUUAUUUUGUAUGUACUGAGUGUCAUGUUUGAGAAAUCCCGCCCAACUCAUUGUUUUGACAUGCUUCUGAAUUUCAAUGUCUGUAAUCAUGGGUCUGUUCACUCUACUUCAUGCCAUGUUUGUCUCAGAAAAGGUUAUUGAAAAGAUCUUAAAAUUAACAACUGUAAAGCUGAAACCUGUAAAGCUUCUCUUAUAUGCUAAUCUCAAACCCUUUUCUUUCUGGCAUCCAUCCAUGUAGCUGAGGGAAGUAAAUAGUGGGUCCCCAGACAGAUGGCCAUUAAGUCCAUCACGUGAAUGCCAACCAGUCUGGGAGCUAUCAACCUUUCUGAGAACUGAAGGGUAAACCAAGUAGUUAAAACAGUGUUUACUGGCCUCCUGUUUGCAUGUUUUCUUCCUAGGCUUUGCUCACAUUCUCUAUAACCUAAGACAAUCUCUGGUGAAAUAAGUUUACCAAACUUGGUACUCUGUAUUCUUAUCAGCUUUAUUUUAGAUGUUAAAUAUAAAGUAUCACAAGCUGAAUAUUAUCCUUGGCAUGCAGAUGAAGGAAACAAACUCUCUUGUUCAGACAGUGGAUCACAGAUUCAUUUAGGUUGGAAAAGACCUCUAAGUCCAGGUAUUAACCUAGCACUGUCAAGUCCACCACUAAACCAAGUCCCUGAGCACCACAUCUACACAUCUUUUGUAUACCUCCAGGGAUAGUGACUCAACAACUUCCCUGGGCAGCUUGUUCCAAUACUUCACAACCCUUUUGGUGAAGAAAUUUGUUCUAAUAUCCAAGCCAAACCUCCCCUGGUGCAACAUGAGGCCAUUUCCUCUUGUCCUAUCGCUUGUCUCUUGGGAGAAGAGCCCGAUCCCCACCUUGCUACAACCUCCUUUGAGUGAUAACGCCUCCCCUGAGCCUCCUUUUCUCCAGGCUAAACAGCCCCAGCUCCCUUACCCGCUCCCCAGAAGGUUUGUUCUCUAAAUGUAGCACAGGUAGCUGUGGUGCUAUGAUCUUAACUGAAGUUUGGGUAGGCUGGAAUUUCUGCUAAGGUGAUAUUUGUAUCAAGGAAAGCCGCAAAUCUGAGGAGCUUGUUUAUAGCUGGAGGCUAGCCUAGCUAAUUGGACCUAGCAGUUUUUGAAGCAUGAUCCAAGAUUUGGACAAAACUUAAUUUUGAUUCAUAUUAUCUGAACGCUUUAUAAAGAGUGAUAUUUUAAUUGAGCAUUGGUGAAAAAUGGUGAAACACACGGGCAGUUUUACAGAACAGCUUUCAUAUGCUGUUCUUUCUUUCAAAACAUUGCUGGUCUUUGUUUAGGAGAUGAAAACAGCACAGGUAUCAAGGGAAGAUCCUUGCCUCUCUCAACUCCAUUUGCUGUACAUACAUUUUUGACAUGCCUCCCUGGGGCUGCCACGAGCUCUAAGCUAAAUAGUUCAUCGUGUCUACACAUGCCAUUUUCUUCCUAGCUGUCCUGUCUAUCCUGGAAAUUUUGCUACAUCUGUUGCAUUUUUAAAGAUUUAAUAUUUUGUGUUAUGGUAAUAAUGAGUAUUAGUAUGGGGUAUUUCAGAGGCUUGUGCACAGGGGCAACCAGGUCUUUUUUCUGAGAACAAUAUUUAAGGUUUCAUCAAAGUUCAGCCUAUACUUUUCGGAACAUGUUGUAUUUGUCAACUGAACCUGAUCUACCGUUCUGCUAAAUUGAUGAUUUGGCCAGAGGCUGUCUACCAUAAAGUUUGGUAGUCUUACAACGUUGUUUCCUAGCUUGUAUUUCAGGUUAUCCUAACAGCUUUUUAUCUGUAGUUCCCUAGAUUCUUGCAGAUUUCUUCGAUGAGUGUUAUUUGGUCAUGGAGUUAUGUAGCACUUUAAUUUUCCAGUUUGAUCCGACCUCUGCUCUUUCAGUCUUGGUGUUUCUCUGACAGACUAUUUUUGUUACAUUUAAAGAAAAAGUAUUUCUCCAGCAUCUUCUAUAAUAAAAACUAUACGGAUAAAUACUUCAGCUUUUCAAGAGAGUCUUUAUCCUACAAAAUUACUUUCCUUAUACCCUUCUGGCUAAGCCUAUUCCUUAGCUCUCUUGCAACUUGCCUGCUUCUGAGAUAAUUAAAGUUUUUAUAUCUUUGACUGUCUGAUCUUUACAUUCUCUCUAAGCUCAUCUGUUACAUCCUACACUUAACUACCAGAGUUUAUUACUUGCACACACAUCUUUGAAAGAAAAAGAUAUCUGUGCCACAUCUCUCGUGCUGUUGGCAUGAUGACCUCUGACCUGCACAGUUCCAUUCUCUAUUGUAGAGUAUUAAGAAAAAAAUUUCCCAUACUUCUGCUCCUCUGAGUAUUUCUUAACAAUUUCUUUCUUCUACUUCUUCUUCUUCUUUUUUUUUUUUUUACAAAAUGUAUAGUUUUUUUUUUUUUUUCAGAUAGUAGUUUUAUUGGGGUUAUUAAACACUUGGAAAAGUUUCAGAAACAAAACCGGCAUCUUAUGUGUUGUACUGCUAAAACAUGAUAUUAGACUCAAAAAGAAAUCAUAGCUUUAUCCACAAAGAAAUCAGUUGCUUUUUUGUCUCCUGAUAGACAUUAUUAAGAUGUGAAAAUUCAUUACAAAAUUAGUAUAGUAUUGGAAAAAUGGCAAUACAUUAAAUAGCUAAAAUGGACAUAUUAAUUCUUUAAUUAGUCUUUUACUAAAAUAAUGUCCACAAUCGGCACAUCUCUGUAACUCUUUUAGUCCUUGGUUAAGAAAAGUAUUUUACUCCUUGAUGGAAAUUUAAAGCUGAAAGAAGACCUUUUAAGAAACUGAUGAAGAUAUACUUUUUGUAAUAUUUAUCUUUAGCAUUAUUUCUCACAAAUAGGUAAGCAAAGUCUUUUGUCAGGAUAAUGUUCUGAAGUAAAGAUUGCCAGACAUAUUUGGGUGAACAAAUAGGUUUUCAUAAAUGAAAUUAAAUCAGUGGAAUUUCAGCUUGUAUUCUCCCAUAUGCAUUUGUUCUGCUGCCUACCAAGUGCUUCUUCACAUGGGCACUCAUAUCCGAACGCUGUCCUCAGUCAUGUGAGUAGCCUCUUUUUUUGCACAAGAAAGUACAAGGGGAUGCAGUUCAGGAAAACAAAAGAACUUAACUAAUCUAAGUCAAGAAAACUGAAAAGAAAUUGUACUUUACAAUAGGCAUGCAUAUGAGAAAACAGAAUGAAAACAAAAUUGCUAUCAAAUCUCAGAAGCAUAUUAUGGGAAAGAAAGUUGUAGAAAGGAAAGAAUGUAUUGUGGAUAAUUUCGGGAACUAUUAAAUGUUUAACUGCCAGUUCAAAAGGAAAUAGCAGAGCUGUUUCAGGACGAGGUCCUUAAAUUUAUUUGUUUAUUGUUACUACCCAUCUACAAUAACAUGACAUUCAAUCUCUCUUGCCCAUCCUGUUUUAUCCCCAUAAUGUUUCUCUCCUCCAUGAAGCACUCUCCCACUCCCAAAACAAACGAACAAACAAAAAAAAACUGGGACAUGCACAUGAAUCUGUGUAGAAAGUAAACCUGAUUUCCUUUGGUAUUAUAGCAUAUACCAAUGCAAAAAUUAUUUGUGAAGAAGAAAACCUCUGAAAAUAGCAGUAACACUGCUUUUCUGGCAUUAUUUUUCUGUUAUUUUAAUCCAUGUAAAUCAUGUGAAAAUUUAUCACUGCAUAAUAAAACCCCACCAAUAACAUUUCUCGCAUUAUUAUUUGAUAGUCAUGCUAACCUAA